CUCUCGGUCUCUCCUCUUUUCCCCCCCUCUCUGUCUGAAUCGGUGAAUCAACAAUACCAGACAACUCUCUCUCUCCCUCUCAAAUCCACACCACACCUCGAGCGACCAAGAUCACUACAGUCUACACUUCAAGCGACCAGCGAAGAACACAAACCUAGAACAAUCGAAGUUCAGCAUCGGGCCUUAACAUUUUGCAAGAACAAGGUUCAAGAAACAUGCAUUCUCAGUAAUCAGGUCUCUUUUCUGGAAGAAGAAAGUUGAUGGGAAUGGGUGGAGUUGGCAAAAAGAAAAUAGCUUGUAGAUAUUACUCUCCCGGUAGCUCACGUCCCGGCGUAAUGUCCGUCCUCCUGAUUGAUACGAUCCAGUGGCCCCAUACCUCACUGCCGCUGUAAUCGCCGUAGCGGUGGAGGAAGAAGAGGAGUCGGCACUUGCCAUGGUGGAAGUGGAGUCGGCAUUGGAGGAAGAGUAGGCUUCGCCGGAGGAAGAGGAGGUUUGGCCGCCGGCGGCGGCAUUCGCGUGAUGGAGGCGAAGAUUCCCCAUAAGUCUAUCCCAUUUACUACUUAUACGGGGUAUUUUUGGUGGAGACUUCAACCUCAUUAUACAUCUAUUUAUAGUCACUCGAAAAUUUUUGGCCAUUUAUAAAAAUCUUAAUAUUCUAGAUCAUUUAGAUUUUGUUUAACUAAAAAUUCUAGAAGAAUAAGAAUGUAUGUUAGAUUUUCA
Molecule: long non-coding RNA, 720 nt
Organism: Cornus florida
Lineage: Eukaryota; Viridiplantae; Streptophyta; Magnoliopsida; Cornales; Cornaceae
Exons: 4
Source: RefSeq, a predicted model, not a curated record